This 273-nucleotide ribosomal RNA is filed under the name uncultured bacterium. RNAcentral describes it as "partial 16S ribosomal RNA". It matches the Rfam family "Bacterial small subunit ribosomal RNA", at positions 524 to 796 of the family's 1533-position model. The record is from RNAcentral.
UACGAAGGGGGCUAGCGUUGUUCGGAAUUACUGGGCGUAAAGCGCACGUAGGCGGGUCGUUAAGUCAGGGGUGAAAUCCCGGAGCUCAACUCCGGAACUGCCUUUGAUACUGGCGAUCUAGAGAUCGGAAGAGGUGAGUGGAAUUCCCAGUGUAGAGGUGAAAUUCGUAGAUAUUGGGAAGAACACCAGUGGCGAAGGCGGCUCACUGGUCCGAUACUGACGCUGAGGUGCGAAAGCGUGGGGAGCAAACAGGAUUAGAAACCCCCGUAGUCC